ACCGCGACCACCCCAUCUCCAUCAGCUGUUUGUGUGCAGCCUCUCUCCCUCUGCAGCGAACUCUUUCUCUGUCGCUCUCCGUUCAACAGCCCCCCGGCAAUUGCUUGAACUCUUGUACGAACGUCUACCUGACCGCGCGCGCCACCUCUCUCCACCGCCCCACAUGCAAUCAUCAAACUCCCCAAACACACUCACACACACCGAGACACACUCAUAGAGUCAGCGCUCUUAGAGCUUGUCGGUCUUUCCGUCCGUCGGACAGGUAUUUGUGCGCUCGAAAAAAACUUUUACUUUAAAAACAAUCCGUCCGUGCACGCUUCUGGUACGCGCGCGCGAUCGCGAAGAGAUCCAUCCUGUCCGUAGACCACCAUGUGCCAAAGUUGACGUUUCGGCUCGUGCGCGACCUACUUUUGUCGAGGGUGUCAACGGGAAGCUCGCGUCAACGCGCGUUCGCAGACGAUUUGUCUAGGCUUCAAUCGACGACAUCGCCGGUAAACAAACUCUGCUGAUAAGUGAAAGGUUCAGAUUAAUUCCCGAACAAAGGAAGCAAAACCCUAGUGAUUAAGUGGAAUCGCUCGAAAAAGUGUGGUCAUUGUUCGAGUUAUCACAACCCGAGUGUGUACAGAAAACGUCGAACUUGCGCCGAACCGCUCGACGCAAACAGCUGAUUUGAGUAGUGAAAGUGCACCACAGUCAAAUUCAAGGACCGCAGCUCUUCAACGGGCUUUGGACUGGUUCGCCAAGUUUCGAGCGAAGAAAAAAAAAACCCGCUGCAAGUUGCAACAAGUUGCCACCGCAGGUCACCCCCAGAGGCCACCGUAAUUUGCCAGCGAACCUUGUGACACCCCCACAUGCUCAAGGGGUCUUACCCAGAGAGAUUCCAGUUCCGAGAAGACCAAGUUAUCCAGCAGACCCUAACCAUGGCGGAACUGCUCUGCUUCUACAUCCUGUGCCCUUGGUUGCUGUUUGUGAUCUACAUGGUGGUCGCCAUGAACGGCCUCAUAUGAGGCGGCCGCAGGUCGCAACCGCGGCCAAUUAAUGCC
Molecule: long non-coding RNA, 1043 nt
Organism: Culex pipiens pallens (northern house mosquito)
Lineage: Eukaryota; Metazoa; Arthropoda; Insecta; Diptera; Culicidae
Exons: 2
Source: RefSeq, a predicted model, not a curated record